GCCAGACUCCUACGGGAGGCAGCAGUCGGGAAUAUUGCGCAAUGGAGGAAACUCUGACGCAGUGACGCCGCGUGCAGGAAGAAGGUUUUCGGAUUGUAAACUGCUUUAGACAGGGAAGAUACAAGACAGUACCUGUAAAAUAAGCCCCGGCUAACUACGUGCCAGCAGCCGCGGUAAUACGUAGGGGGCUAGCGUUAUCCGGAUUUACUGGGCGUAAAGGGUGCGUAGGCGGUCUUUCAAGUCAGGAGUGAAAGGCUACGGCUCAACCGUAGUAAGCUCUUGAAACUGGGAGACUUGAGUGCAGGAGAGGAGAGUGGAAUUCCUAGUGUAGCGGUGAAAUGCGUAGAUAUUAGGAGGAACACCAGUUGCGAAGGCGGCUCUCUGGACUGUAACUGACGCUGAGGCACGAAAGCGUGGGGAGCAAACAGGAUUAGAUACCCCUGUAU
RNAcentral lists this ribosomal RNA (446 nucleotides) under uncultured bacterium. RNAcentral describes it as "bacterial SSU rRNA". It matches the Rfam family "Bacterial small subunit ribosomal RNA", at positions 330 to 793 of the family's 1533-position model. The record is from RNAcentral.